Molecule: ribosomal RNA, 377 nt
Filed under: uncultured bacterium
Lineage: Bacteria
Description: bacterial SSU rRNA
Rfam family: Bacterial small subunit ribosomal RNA
Source: RNAcentral
UAAAACGUAGGUGGCGAGCGUUAUCCGGAUUUACUGGGCGUAAAGAGCUUGUAGGCGGUCUUGUAAGUUGGGCGUGAAAGCCUCGGGCUUAACUCGGGGAGGCCGUUCAAUACUGCAGGGCUAGAGGAUGUCAGAGGGAGAUGGAAUUCCUGGUGUAGCAGUGAAAUGCGUAGAUAUCAGGAGGAACACCCGUGGCGAAGGCGGUCUCCUGGGGCAUUCCUGACGCUGAGAAGCGAAAGCUAGGGGAGCGAACGGGAUUAGAAACCCCGGUAGUCCUAGCCGUAAACGAUGGAUGCUAGGUGUUGGCAGAUCUAACCCUGCCAGUGCCAAAGCUAACGCGUUAAGCAUCCCGCCUGGGAACUACGAGCGCAAGCUUA